This 168-nucleotide ribosomal RNA is filed under the name Pantoea agglomerans. RNAcentral's name for it is "partial 16S ribosomal RNA". It matches the Rfam family "Bacterial small subunit ribosomal RNA", at positions 337 to 503 of the family's 1533-position model. Lineage: Bacteria; Pseudomonadati; Pseudomonadota; Gammaproteobacteria; Enterobacterales; Erwiniaceae. The record is from RNAcentral.
UCCUACGGGAGGCAGCAGUGGGGAAUAUUGCACAAUGGGCGCAAGCCUGAUGCAGCCAUGCCGCGUGUAUGAAGAAGGCCUUCGGGUUGUAAAGUACUUUCAGCGGGGAGGAAGGCGGUGAGGUUAAUAACCUCGCCGAUGACGUACCGCAGAAGAGCCGUCGCGCCC